This 589-nucleotide ribosomal RNA is filed under the name uncultured bacterium. Its description in RNAcentral is "bacterial SSU rRNA". It matches the Rfam family "Bacterial small subunit ribosomal RNA", at positions 338 to 917 of the family's 1533-position model. The record is from RNAcentral.
CCUACGGGGAGGCAGCAGUGGGGAAUAUUGGACAAUGGGGGAAACCCUGAUCCAGCGACGCCGCGUGGGUGAAGAAGGCCUGCGGGUUGUAAAGCCCUUUCGGUAGGGACGAAAGCCCUUGGAUUAAUAACCCAAGGGGUUGACUUAACCUACAUAAGAAGCACCGGCUAACUCUGUGCCAGCAGCCGCGGUAAUACAGAGGGUGCGAGCGUUAAUCGGAAUUACUGGGCGUAAAGCGCACGUAGGCGGCUUUGUAAGUCGGUUGUGAAAUCCCCGGGCUCAACCUGGGAACUGCAUCCGAAACUACAUUGCUAGAGUAUGGGAGAGGGAGGCGGAAUUUCCGGUGUAGCAGUGAAAUGCGUAGAUAUCGGAAGGAACAUCAGUGGCGAAGGCGGCCUCCUGGACCAAUACUGACGCUCAGGUGCGAAAGCGUGGGGAGCAAACAGGAUUAGAUACCCUGGUAGUCCACGCCCUAAACGAUGAGAACUGGAUGUCGGGAGGGUUUGCCUUCCGGUGUCGUAGCUAACGCGAUAAGUUCUCCGCCUGGGAAGUACGGCCGCAAGGUUGAAACUCAAAGGGAAUUGACGGG